This 14949-nucleotide long non-coding RNA is filed under the name Setaria italica (foxtail millet). RNAcentral describes it as "long non-coding RNA (SITA_LNC001993)". Lineage: Eukaryota; Viridiplantae; Streptophyta; Magnoliopsida; Poales; Poaceae. The record is from RNAcentral.
UGUAUUCGUGGAAGGACAGGAAACAAUGAAAAAUUGGUCACAGAAAGACAAGCAAAAAUGUAGCCAAAUGAAAUGAAUUGCCGCUACAGAAAGUUAUUUUGUCGGUAAGCUACCUUUCUAAGUUCUCACGAAGCUGAGAAACAAGUACACCAGAAUUUUCAAUCUUUUUUACCAAGUCAUCAUUUCUUUUUAGGAGGUCUUCAUUUCUCCUUAUUAGAUCAUCAUUUCUUCCAUGAGCCUCAGUACGUGCACUUUUUAUACCAUUGCCUUCUUGUUUCUCCAUUACAAAGUUAGACAAUCUUGAUAUGGCAUCUACUUGAAGCCUAAUUCGUAAAGACAUUAGUCACCAAAAGGAUGAUAUAAUGAUCAGUAAUUUGAUGGCACAGUAGUUGACAAUUAGAGAAAAGUAAAUUAAGAUACCAACUUCUGCACAGUAUCUUGAAGCUGGUGGGCCCUGUAUUCGCUAUCCCUAACUUUCUUAAAUAACACCUCAUUUCUCUCCUGAGCUUCAACAAGGGACCUCCUGAUUGCUUCAUUUUCUUGUCUUUCAGCUUCCAAAGAAGCUGUCAUAUCCUCCUUAACCCUGUUUUGGGAUAAAAACAACAGUUGCAACUUCACAAUGCAGAUUAGUAAUAAUGGAAAACAUGAAGAACUAUUAGAGUUAAGCAUACAAAUGAGGAAAUGAAUAAAACCUAGGUUUUGUGUGAUGCAUGCUGCAUAUCCCUAGUUGAUGAAAAGUCUUAAUCUAUCUCAGAUACUCACAAAUGCACUUCUAUGUUUAUUUUCUGCUGUUAUCAUUCUUUCAACUUUGAUAGGCUUGCAACACUGAAAGAUAAUCUGCAUGCAUGUGGCACAUAUCUGCCAUCAAUGUCUCGCUCUCUCUGCAUAUAUAUCUUUCCAGAACAUGUGAUCUUGAUUCAUUUUAGUGUUAUGCAAAAAAGGUAGUGGGACAUAAGAGUGUAUGAUCCUGACAAUAUGUCAUACUACAUUUAGUAUAGAAAGACAUCUAGGUGCUAUAUUAACAGCAUGUGAGGAUAAAAAAGUCUGGUUUUUAGUAUGGAACCACAUGCCUUGUACCACUGAUCUUGAGACAUGGGAAGAAAUUCCAAAAAAAAAAACAAUGAAUUUUUUUUUGAAGGGGGGGGGGGGUUCACAUGCUGACAAGGGAGAACUAUAGGAGCGUACUUGUAAUAUAAUAUACAUAAAGCUUUAUUGAAGGUACAUACGAAUUUAUAGUGUUUUGAAGAUGCUCAGCUUUUUUGUUGGCUUCUUCUGCUUUCAUCAGUAACUCUUCAUUUUUGUAUUCACUCUCAGUGAGUGCUUUCUUCAGUGCAUCCUUCUCAUGUCUCUCAGAUAUCAGCAAAGUGUCUUUCGCUGUAUUAUCACCAAGCCUGAAAUUGAUCACCAGUUAUUAUGUCAAGUACAUCUACAUUUACGUAAGCACACUCACUAACUAUAUGUAAGCAUUCCCAGAGCCAAGCACAGCUUAAUAAAAACAAUAGAUGUAUAAAGUACCUUUGUAUGCUGCCUUGAAGAAGACCAAUUUUUUUGUCAACGUCCUCAAGCUUCUUUAGUAACUGCAAAAUUCUUUCUUGACUUUCAGCUUGUGCCUUCAUGGUUGCACUGUUUUGUUCUCGUUCUCUCAACAGUAAAACCUCUGUAGCAGAUGCGUUUUCCUGAAGCCUAGUCUCAGGUAGAAAUAUGGAGUUGAUUCAAAAGUUAAAACAGAUAAUCUUCUGAUAGAAUUUAUGCCCCUAGAGGUUGUUAAGCAGACAAUAAGGAACGAUUAUGGACCUCUCAACAGUUAGCUGAAGCUGAAGAGUAUUUUUAUCAUAAUCCUGAAUUUUCUUGAUUAAUUCUUCAUUUCUACACUGAGUUUCGGUCAGAACUUUCUUGGUCGUCUCAUGUGCUUGUUUCUCUGAUAACAAAAGUGCAUCUCUGGAAGUAGCAUCCGCUUCAGACCUUUAAAAAUCACAGUGAAAGGUCACUAUCACAGUGUAAUGAUGAUACUGAGCAAGAAGUUGGGACACAUACUCAAGAGAAAGCAUCAGACCUCUUGAUGGUAUCUUCCAAUUGUUUUCUGGUUUCUUGGGACUGUUGUGACUCGUGUACUAAUUCAUUGAUCUUUUUCUGGGCGUUGGCUAUUUCUUCUUUAGUCGUUUUGUUUUCUUGUCUUUCUACUUCCAACAAAGAGUCUUUCUCCGCUGUGCGUUCUUCUAGUCUAUGUGCAAAAAGAAAAGAAAAUCCUCAAGAAACAGGCAGAUCAGAAAUGCUUGUAACAAAAGGAAUCUAACCUGUUAACUGAAUCCUCAAGCAUAUUGAUUUUUUUAGCUGAAUCCUCGAAACUUGUCAUCAAGUCUCGGUUUCUCCCUUGAGCUUCAGUUAGCGCUUUUACUGUACAGUCGAGAUUUUGUUUUGUCUUAAGCAGCAAAGAUUCCCUUGCCGUUGCAUGUUUCUCAAGUCUAAAAUCAUUAAGGAAGAGGAAGUAUGUGUUAGCUCAUAAAGUUGAAGUACAGGAUUAGCUCUCUUAAGUUGCACAUAUUGCAUUAUGCUUGAGUAAAGAAAGCUCAGCUCUACAACUAGUGACAAGAUAAGAACCUUUGAGCGUUCUCCAGCAUCUUGUUUAUAGUUUUUUCACUAUCAUCAACUUUCCUUAGCAAUUCCCAAUUUCUUUCCUGAGCUUUCAAAAGUGCUUGCUUGGUUUGAUCAUGCUCUUGCCUUUCUGCUACAUACAGGGCAUCCCUUGUGGUUGCAUUUUCCUCACACCUGUAUUCAGUGAGUGAGAAUUCUUAACGCUGCCAGCUCGUUAUAUUGAGGACUGGAAUAGAAAGGCAGAAGCAGCAUUGCUAAAGACGUCCAAAACGUACACAACAUCACCUGCACCUAUGAUCAAUCCUCUAUACGACACAUCAUUGCUAUGACAUAUAAUAUACUUUUUAAUCCUUUACUUUCAAAUAUUUCCAAAGAGGUAUUGAUAAAUGCAGCUGUGGAACUCCCUUUGUUGUUUCAUGUAACUACGACUCGCAUCGAGAUCUUAAGCACCUUGCUAAAACAUGCUUAUUAAUUUUCUUGUUGCACCAUUCAUGCUUGCAUGUUUUUUAUGCAAUUUGAGUAUAUGAACAACUAGAACGUCAAUUAUUCAUAUUCCUUUCAAACAAAAGAAAAAGAAUUCAUAGCACCAUUUGUCCUUUUCAAAGAAUGUAACAUUAGAAAUCAACCUUUUCAAAGAAUCUUGAAGCAGAUCAUUUGUCCUACGGGCAUCUGCAAAUUUCUUCUGCAGUACUUCAAUACCCUGUUGUGCUUCAGUUAAUUGUGAAAAGGUUGCAGUACUUUGUUGUUUUUCAGCUAACAAUGAAGUCUCCAAUGUUGUCACAGUUUCUUCAAGUCUAUGUUAAUUGAAAAGAAAAUUCAGCAUUGUUGAUUCAAGAUUAUUAUAGUAUAAUAAUAGUUAACAAAAUUUGGAAGGAGCUUAUAACUGAAGUCAAGCACGAAUCAAAUCACGGAAAGGAAAAUGCAAUUACCUUUGGAUGUUGUCUUGGAAGUUACUAAUGUCUUGUUCAGCUACUUCAAUUUUAUUGAGAAGUUCCUCAAUUUUUACAUGAGCUUCAUUGAGUGAUUGUUUGGUCGCUUCACUUUCUUGUCUUUCUGUAAGUAAAGUAGCCUCUCCCUCAAUUAAGCUUUCUUGCAGCCUGUGUCCACGAAGAAGAAAAGAUAAUGAAGUUUAAGUCAACCAAAUAGUCCUACUUUUCUAUGUGGUUGCCAAGAAUCACACAGAUAAUAUUACUGAAAAUUUUUGGAAGGGUUAUAUGAGGUGUAGGACUGCUUGGAAAACAGCUAAUGUGCCUGAAUUGAUAAGUAGUUCCUGUUGGGUUUCAACUUUACCUACCCCAACUUGCUUGGGACUGAAAGGCUUUGAUGUUGUUUUUAUUGGUUAUAUGAGGUGUAGGACAAAUCUUAUGUUUUUUUUACUAAAUAAAAUGACCUUUGCACAACAGUCUGAAGCUCUGUGGAUUUUUCUUUGGCAUCUGAGAUUUGUCUCAGUAGUUCUUCAUCCCUCUGGUGCGCUUCACUUAGUUCCCUUCUAGUUGUCGUGUUUUGUUCCUUUUCCAUCAUCAAUGAAGACUCCAGUUCUGUCACAUUCUUUUCAAAUCUGCAUUCAACAGACAGGAAGAUUUCUGUACUUCCAAAAUAGUAAGGAUGGGACUCGAUUUACUUGAUUAUGGUUAAGUAUAUGGUAAAGUACCAGCGAGCUUUACAGUACGACAAAUGGAACUAAAAUAAAGGUUUGAGUUGGUUGUAUUAGUGGGCCUUUGCAAGUUAACAAAAAAAAACAAUCCUUAAUCUUUAAUUCUCUAUUACAUCUUCAUCUGCAUCUUGAGCUUCAGUGAGUAAUGGGAAGUAAAGCAUCAUAUACAUUGGCAUUCUUUAGAUCCAUUAGGCUUUGACAAAAUGGGAUAUUAUGACCUCAGCAAAGAAAAAAAUUAGUAUUGAGAUCUGCCUGAUCUUGCUCUAUCACAACGAUAACCAGGACAAUGGCAUGCAUUCACACAGUUUCCUGAAGCAGACAAAUUAGUUUACCAGAGUGUAUUUGAUUUCCUUGCUAGUACUUUGUUUCACUCUUGAGUACUUUAUUUCACUUUUGAGAUUCAGUUAGUGCGAUCUUAUAUUCUUAUUUGCUUCAUAUUAAUAUUUUUCACCUGGAAACCAUACAUACAUUUACUUCUAAUCUGAAUCAACAUAGCCAAAGAGCUUGGAUAGUUUGGUAUGUUCUACUGCAGUACUGCUAGUCUGAAACUGCAGUUACUAGUGUCAAACAGACAAUUCAAUGAACCAACAGAUCUAGAGUGUCCAACUGUUAUCUUAGUAUCAUAAUGUGGUUUAGCAAUGCUAAAUCAGAUCCUGGCAGCAUACACUGUCAGCAUUUAAGUAUGCGUGACUGCAUCAGCAUCCAUGUCUGAUACAUGUGCUCGUAGAGGUUUCUGUGUCUGUCAGAGCUGUGCAUAAAAGUAGCAGUGUUAAGGGAUAUGUUCUGUUGUAGUGAAAGGCUUAGAAAUUAUGUGGUGCUAUCCUGAAAGUAAUACUAGUUUUUAGUAUUGGCUCCUUACAGAAAUUAAGGUCUAAAGUCACUGAGCUACUAACCUUUUUACAGCAUCUCUAAGCUGCUCAAUGUUUUCGUCCGCGGACACAAUUUUUGUAGUCAGUGCAUCAUUUUCUUCCCGAGCAAUAACAAGUGCACUCUUAGUUGCACUGUUUUCUUCUUGUUCUCUUUGUAGUAGUACCUGUCAACAGCCAUCCAUUAAAAAAAUAUCAUGCUACAGAUAAAUAAGUUACUGCUACCAUCAGACUCUAAUCAAAUAUGGGAUAUGUUUUGUAAUCAGCUGUUCUUUUACUGUUUAACAUGAAACAGAUGCUGUAACUGUGUUUUGUUUAUUAGAAUAACUAUUGCAAUGCUUAAAUCCUUGCAAAUAUCUACACAGUUUGGAUAAUUACUAUGUUGAUUUAGGAAAAGAGUACCUUCAGCUCCUCCACUUCGUUAGUCAAUGAAGUGAUCUUUUCUCUUUCUUGAGUUAAAGCUUCUUCAAUGGCCCUUUUGCCUAAUUCUCUUUCCUGUAUCUUUGUGGCUUCUUCCACCCGCUGCUCCAUCUCACGAAGAGCAGCCUGUAGUUUGGAAAUUUCUCCUGCUUUGUUCUUCUCUAGAUCAAUCUGAAAAGUGAUACUGUAUAAGCAUAAAUUCACCAGUUAAUUCAUCCCACGUUAUCUUAAUUCAAGAGCAGCAUCUACCCUAAGUUUCUUUUCCAAGCCCAAACAGCUAGUCAGCUCUACAACAUGCUCCUCAAGUUUCUCCUUCUCCACCUUCAGGGCUUCUGUGUCCCUUGCAGCCUACAAAAUGUACCAAAAAAAAAUAAAAGGGUGUGUAAGUGAAAUAUAGAAUCAACAUGAUUAAAACAAAGACCCAAUUGCUUCAGUACCAUUUUGAGCUUUCGGAGUUCUCCUCUAGCAACCCGUCUUCUCCAUGCACACUGAUAAAUUAACACUGAUCUCUUCAUUUUACAAUAGUUCGAAUAAUCUCUAUGGCAUCGCCACUGAGCCUGCAAGCAACCAUUCUCAGAGUGACAGUUCAGAGAUGAAACAUGUAAGAUAUGAAAGUUGAGAUUUGUAACCAGCCUUCCAUUUAGAUAAAAUAAAAGAAUGAAUCUGUGGUUUACCUGGAUACGAAUAGUGGCUUUAUUUUGUUUUCUGAGAAUGUAUUCUUUAUAAGCACCAAACGCCCUUAGUCCUGUCUGCAACGUAAUGGCUGAAGAGCGUAGCUUAGAAUAAGAGUUCCAAGCAAGAUAGCAGCGGUAACUUUUCUGUAGAUGCAACGCUGCAGCUUGUUUUCUCAGGAAAACACGUAACUUACAAGCCAAUAUUACUGCAAUUGAUAAGGUACUCUCAGAUAUGAUGCAACCUGAGCUAUAAGCAUUGUUUCCACUUGCAAAUACCAAUUAACAACACCUUACCUCUAACAAAAGAUUGAAAAGAUAGUGAUGUCUUGCGUAGUACAAGGAAUUGCUCACGAGCAACAUGAGUGCGAAAUCUACUCUGAACAACUCUAGCUGCUUUAUUCCGCACUUCAGUUCUUCUAGCAUCUAAUUCAGCCAUCUGACCAGCUCUCAGGAAAACCUUUGUUCUUCCAAUCUGUCAUGGACACCGAUAAUUUAAAAUAUCGCGAGAAAAUUUUGUUAUCUCUUUAUAUGCUACAAGCAGGCAUUUCUGCCAUGCAAUUUAUAAAAGAACACACCACGAGGGGAAGUUACGUAUUCCAUAUUGUGAUUGUUGGCAAAAAAAAUGAAAAUCAACAAAAGACUAAAAGCAACUGAUGGAGUAGUUAAAAGUUAGCAGCUGAAUUUUCAGUGGUGUGAACCAAAAUUUUUUGAUGGUAUAAAUCAAUUUUUUGGGGGGGGGGGAAAGAACAAUCAUAAAAAAAUAUGGACUAAUGCCAUUCGCGUGAAUCAUUUUGUUCACUUCUUUAUUAUUUACCACUUCAUAGGCUGUAGUUACUCGACAAGAACAAGCAUUGUGUUUUUACUUUAGUGACUUGUUUUGGAUUAUUUAGAGAUGAAAAGAAUGCAAUAAGCAUAUAACACACAUAAAAGGAGGAUUAGUUAUAGUUUUCUUCACCUGAUAACCCUGGAGACCUAUUUUGUCCAAAAUCUUUUGGCAGGUCACCUUUUCAUUGUUUCUAUCAGAUAUAAGAGAAGAGUUAUAAAAGCAGGACAGAACUGGCAAUAUUAGUAGAUCACGAAAAAAAUAUUUUUGUUAUCAACUUGUUAAGUAUAUCUAGGCCCAUAUACUCUAGGCCCAUGUGGCCCAUGUGCUCUAUAUACACACACACACACAUCAAGCCUGUGAGAUCAGAACUGCAAGUAGCAGAUUUUUUACUAAAGCACAAACUCGAGAACAACAUUGGCUUUCCAAGGUUAGUAACAAAACUGAGUGCUCACCUUUCCAUGAAAACUUCAGGAGCAAGAAUGCGAAACCGACAGAGAAAAUCAUGAAAUAUUUUUCUUGUAGGAUAUCCAGCACAGCUGAUUCUAAUAGCUUCAAGAACACCCUGAAAUGCCAACAAACAAUUAGAGUAGAGUAAACAAUGGCUGAGUUUCUAUGGAAACUUUGCCAUGAAGAGUGAUCUGUUGCUUACUGAACACCGAAGUUGCUGCAGUACAUUGAUGUUCUCAAAAGUAGUAGGCUUAAGAUUGUUAUUGGGCUUAAUACAUCUAAUGUAAUGAGGCUCCGUAGAACUCAACGUCUCCAUCAGUUCUUGGAGUUGCCACUGAGAGUUACAUGGAAGUACCAGAUAUGAAGUUUACAUGAAACAUAGCUCGAUGGUGAACACAAACUUAUAUAUAUUCUCUUCCCUUUCUCUAUCAAGUAAUAUGCAUUUAUUUUCUAGAUAUGCCAUUUCAAAUAUAGUAACAUUUAUGUAACGCCCCACAUCCAAAAUCUGCCUAUAGCUCAGCUCACCUAUGAAGCUCUUACAUCCAAAAUCUGCAUGUCACCUCUUACACCUUUGUGUUCACUUGGUGUAAAAAGGUAAUUCGGAGGUGCUAUGUCUGAACACAAAGGAUUGGCCCUCACCUACCCAAUAUCUCCCUCCAUCAACCCGCCUCCCUUUCUAACACAGUAACACAUGAAAAGUUUGCACAUGGGACUAAUCUGACCAUGACAAGGCAACUACUAAUGGGCUGCGGGAUUGUAUUUUCAUUAUGUGCAAACUUUUUCUUGUCUUAUCUUGUUUGUUUGUUUAAUUGGAAAAUCAAAUGAUGAUGUUUUUAAACUCUAUAUCUGGACAUAAACCCGAAAACAAGAUAUGUACAAGACAGUCAUAAUUCUUUUAUUCUACUGUUGUGUUGUACAGAAAGUUUGUUGUCUUAAAUAUGCAGAAGGAUAUUAACCUCGUAAACACAUUUUGGUAAAAGCAAACACCAAAAGAACCAUCAUCAAUAGAAAAAAAUCUGAAGUAUGUACCCUAAAUUCUAGAGUUGGGGCCAAAUGUAUCUCUGAGAAAUUUAAUUCUCGAAAGAGAACCAAAGCCAAACUUCAGGUGAAAAAAUGGGACUUCUGUAAAUAAUUUUUCUCCAACCAACUUUGGAAAGGAUUUGAAGGCAUAAUAAGUCAAGUAGGAGAAUCAUACCUUGAAGCGAGUAGCAAUGGAAGACUUUGAUGCUUUUGUGUUCUCCUCUAGUACUGAUGGGAAUAACCCUGACACAAAUGAACACUUGGAAGCAUUAAGUAACUCUUGAUGUUCUACAACUACAUAGUCUCUGUUUUUGUCCAGGAAAUGGUCAGACUGAUAAGUUACCUGGGAAAAAACAUGAAAUUAAAACGAAUGUACUCAACAAAAUGUACUGAAAAGAAAGCUAUAUCAUGAAGAAUGCUUACUUCUCCCGCAUAAUGUUGUAUGUUAAAUGCAGUGCGAGAAAGCUUUGGUUUGCUAAAUCUUUUGUUAUUCCUGAAUUUCUCAUACAGCUUCUGAGAAAAUGAUUCAUGUGUGCAUUUAGGAAACAUACUGGUGCACAAAAAUAAACCAAAAACAAAAGAAUCUCCAUUAGAAGAAUUGAUUUGGAAAUAGAAAUGAACAGUGCUCUUUAUAGAAUGAAAGGAACCAUUUAGACCAGUCUCAGUGGAGGUUUCAUCAAAAGUUUCAUGACCAUUAAAUAACAUGCCACAUCAGCAAUUUUGCUGACAUGGCAAGAUCAUUAUGAGAGGAGAGGAGAGGGAGUUUCAUCACCAUGAAAUCCAGCAGUCACAGUUAUCUAGUUCUCAGCCUUGGUAAAUGUGCCAUGAAACUGUGCACUGAGACUGACCUUAGAACUACCUUUUAUAUUAAAUGCAAUACAAGAAGUUCAGACUCACCAAGCUUCAUCAAGAAGUGCAAUAAUGCCACCAGGUUUCUGAAAAUAAAGAGGGAAGAAAACAUGAAAGGGUUUAGGUAAAAAUAUAACGAUAAUACACGUUUACAUUAGCCCCUAGCACUGCCAACAGGGGUGAAGCCAGCUGACAUGGACGCUGGGGUCAGCUUCAUUAACACGGUGGGGUCAGCUUAGAGAUUAACGUUGUUUUGUUAAGGAUUUGUAGGAUUUUAUCUGGGUCAGCUGACCCCGAUAAAAGAGCCUGAGUAAAUUUUACUAUGGGUCCAUAAGCUUUUCCUGAAGUUCCAUCUAAGUCCAUGAACUAAAAAAGCGGUCAUCUAAGUCCACAAUCUAUUAAAGAGUGGUUGUGGACGUCCACGAGCGUCCACGUAAGCACAUUUUGCCAGCGUGGUAAAAAAUUGCAAAAGAUGGCCUGCGUCUCUCAUUUUCUCACUCUCUCAUCCUUGUCCUCAUCGCCGAGCUCGCCCCCGUCCCUGCCUCUGCCUGCAUAGCGGCACCACCAGCAGCACGGCCACGCUGCCGCGGAAGGGAGUGCCAGGGGGUUGUGGCCACAGCCCACCAGCCCUCCCCCUCGUCAAGUCAAGUCAAUAAAGGUCACGACUACAAGGGAUAAAAAUAACAGCCUACUCACUGACAUUGCACUUCGUGGAUGUUUUAUGAGAAAAGGAGAGGCAGAUAUCAGCACUGUAUUCGCAAACAGCAAAAUAGCUCAUCCACAGGUCAAAAAAUACUGGAGUAGUGACUGAUGAUAUUUUUUUCUUAAAACUGUUUUGGAUGCAUUUGAGGGAAGGCCUAUUCUCAUAAGUUCAGGUGGUCCACAGCAGUGCAACAGCACCACCACAUUCUCCACAGUGCCCACAACUACAGCGACAUAGGGAUAAGCAGAUAUCUCCUCAAUUAGAUGUUUUGCCUCAAGUUAAAACAUAGGAUUCAGUUAGUUAGCUAUAAUUUUAAGCAAGGAUUAGACCUUAAAGGUACAUCUAAUAGGCAGGUCAGAGCCUCCUGCUUGGCUGGAAUCACAGUUGAGACACCUUCAUCUAACCUUAUCCCCUACCCAACUCAACAUACCAUAUCAAAACCAAGUAAUGUCAUGGUGAUAAUGACCAUUAUAGGACUGGAAGAUGCAAGGCUAAGCUGCUUAAAUUAAAACUAAAAAAAUAACAACACACCUUCUCAAUCAAGUCCAGAACAUCUUGGUUGUCAACAAAUUCUAUGUAGCUCCAGUCGAUCUGCUCCCUGUUAUACUCUUCCUGCUCCAUUUUAAAGACAUUCUGCCAAGAAAAUACUAACUCUUUUACCAACCCAUAGAAGCAAAGAGAAGUAUAAUAUUGUGAACAUCCAAACAUUUGUUCCACAAGUACCUGAUUAAAAUGCUGUUGGAGUUUUUCGUUGGUGAAAUUGAUGCAUAAUUGCUCAAAGCUAAUUCCAUAUUAUGAUAAAGACAGGAGACAUCCAUGAAUGGUCUUCAAUUGUAAAUUGAAAUCAUACUUAAGUUAAUAAUUUACCUAUUAGUCUUAAAACUUUCAAAACCAUAGAUAUCAAGUACUCCAAUCAAUCGGUCAGAGGAUGUAUCUUGUCCUAUGGAUGCAUUUAGUCUGUUUACAAGCCUGUGCAUGGUACAAGCACACACGCUUACAAGGGUGCAUUGUGUACAUGAUUUAGGAAUGAAGUACACAGUCGUAUUCACUACCAGUCAAAUAAUCGAGAAUAUAUCUGCUUUGCUAAGCCAUCCCUGCUAACAGUAGCAGAAUUAGGAUCAACUGUUGUGGUUAUAACUCCUUCUGGUGUAUUUAUUUUCCUCUUUAUCAGCACAUUCUCCAGGUUCCCGCCAUCACACCUGUAAUCAGAAUGCCACAAUGCAUCAUAGGUUAUAAAUGUGAAUGUACAUGCAUAUUACGGAUUGAGUCCUUAUUGUACCCCCUUUCCUGUUCUGUAUUUUACAAGAAAUAAACAGAAUUUAUAGAAAAUUAUAGAAAAAUGAAGGAAAUAUUAGGCAUACAUCAAGAGCUCUGCUGCUGCAUUAAGAUGGAACCUAGCUUUCUCAUCCUUUAAUAAAGAUGAAUCUACCUCUCUCCCUUUCACAAAACUGAUAUUCCCAAGGUGGAGCACAGCAGCAACUACCCGGAAUGUGGCCUCCUGCAAUAUUAUGUGUUGCUUAAAACAGGUUACACAUCCACAUCAUAGAAAGGGUUGAGAAAUUCAUGUCUGAAACCUGCUCCUGCUCAGUAAUACCAACUGUAUUCAUCGCACUUCGUGUUGCAAGAUACUCCUUAGCAUCACUAAUUUCGUCAAGUUUAAUGCACGUGGAUUGAUUGAGAUAGUGAAACGAUGAUGGCUCAGCCAGCUUAUACCUUUUGAUAUCCUGCCAGCAGGGUAUAUUCAUCAGCCAAGAAUCGGAUACACAACCAGUCAAUCAAUUGAGCUAGCAAAGUACCUCUGAUGGUGCUGCACAUAGGAAGUAAAAGCAAUGGUAGUUUCUCUCUGGACUAUUGAUUUGGCAAACACGAGAUCUUUCAAGCAAGUAUGUUCUAAUGGCAGCACCUGAUAUCUUCCCACUCUUGUCAAAUUGGAUUUCAACAAAUUUGCCGAAUCGACUUCAUCAUGCCAUCAAAUAAAGAAAGAAAGAAAGAAAGAAAGAAGUGUGUGAGGAAAUUUUUUUAAUAUCUUCAAAUAUGAAGAUUCAGUUCUAUUCCAUACUUAAAGAUUUUAAUAUGCUAUACACAAUAACUUUCAAACGGUUGUCUUCCAAGACUCAAAGUAGUGUAAAAAGAUCACCUUGAGUUGUUGUUACGAACAGUCUUUGCAUUGCCAAAGGCUUCAAGGACUGGAUUAGACUGCAUGCAAAGCGUAACUAGAUAUCAGAUCAGUUUCAAGUGAAAGAGUGAAACUACAUAUGGCACAUUACUUAAAAGCCUCCACUGCCUUUUGGAAUUGGACACUGUUUCUAACAACAAGAAGUCAUGUAAGAAAAGUAUGAUUCCUAACUUACUUCUAAAACUUGUUGUUCAACUGUCCUCCCUCCUGUUCUAGAUCGCCCACCCAAAAAAGCAAGAUAUCUCAUAAGCAUCUUUGUAGUUUCAGUUUUACCAGCACCACUUUCACCGCUCACCAAAAUGGAGUUGCUCUUUCCCUCAUUCAUCAUCUGCCUGUUUCCUUAUUCAAAAAAAUGUCACAGAAGGCUCCAUCAAUAUUACUGCCACAUUGUACUUCAUUCUAAGAAAUCGUUUACCACUGUUACUGUAGGCAUUCACCUGUAAGAAACAUCAGCGAUUGCAAAUACAUGAGGGUCUAGCUCACCAAAAUUUGCACCUUUGUACUUCUCCAUAGUAUGGGGUUCAGAAAGAUGGGGCAGCCUUUGGAAUGGAUUAAUUGCAAUCAGAAUGUUGCCAGUAUAGGUCUGGAACUCAAAAAAGGAAAGUUAGAAGGAAACAAAAGGCGAAACAAACUUCAUUUUGCUUUGAUCAUUUUCAAGUGAUAAUAAGAUUGAGUGAACAAAUACUCACAUAAAUUAUAUUUUUUGCAUAUCGAAUAGCGAGAUUAUUUAGAACACCAGGUUCAUGCAAGUAUGAUAGCCGUGUCAUGUCAUCAAUGCCAUUAGUUGGCACUUCCGUGUCCUUUGGAUGAAUGUCUGGUAUGCUCACAAUAACCUGGUUUCAUGGAAUAGAAGAAAUGGCACAGGUUGUACAAACAGAUAACAUAUGAAUUUGGAUAAACCUCUCGAGUCUAAAUAAACGGGGGCAAGUUUGCAUGCCCCGAUGCAGCUCAUAGCAAAAUGCGAAUAUCCCCUUCUAAUUAUUCCAUUCUCUAAAGAGGCACUAUAAUUGUAGUUUUGUGAAAUUAACUCUUAAAUUUAGUAAACGAUACGCACAUUUUUUUAUUUUCCUUAAGAUCCAAAUCAUGUAUAGACUGGGUUUUGACAUUGAUCUCCAUGAGUAAAUAACAGAAUUAAAUCACAAGGUCCGCGUCUUCCGUCUACGCUGCAUAGAACACCAUUUCAGAUCAUAAUACAGUGUCACCAUCUGUGAUGCUAUUGAUGCAAUUAUGAAUGAAAAGUUUGAUCAUUUGACAUCAACAAUUACUUAGCUUCCUCGCAAAAAAAAACACAAUUACUUAGCUUUUUUUGAAUAAAAAAAGGAGAGAAGACAGUCAUAGGAGGCCCAAAUCGAAUGUCUUAUUACACACAAAUUGAUUCACCACCAAACCAUGUAAGAUUAACAAGCAACAUAAGACUCACGUACCGUCUUUCCAUUGGUAGCAUGGACAUGGGCAUUUUGACCUUCUAUUCUGGCAACCUCGCCAUCAAUCCAAGCUAAAUCUUUAUCCUCCAGCCAUAUAUGGGAGCCUACAACAAUUUUUAAUGUGGCAGCCUGCAGACAAAACAAGUCAAAACCUCCAGCGUGUCUGGAAAGUCCAUGUUUUUUUUAACAUGUAAAGUCCAUCUUGAUAAACAAAAUGAAAGUAGACAUCUGUAUAAAGUUCCAUAGAAUUGGUACCAAAGGACAGAACACCACAAGGUUUUAGGACCUAUAUUGUAUUGAGUGGCAUAUAGCAUGAUACAUGUAUCAUUGCUGAAGAUGGCUGAACCUAUGGAUGCUAUGUCAAUGACAAGAAAAGGCUGCCGUGCAGAAAAGGGCCAAAUGAUACAGAAUCAUAUUGGGGCAAAGCACAAAGUCAGCCUUUCAAAAAAAGGGCGUAAAGUCAGAACAAAAUCAUGAAGGAUAUACUUUAAGGAAACAGAAUAGGAUAAUUCUGUACAUUACAUCAUAAAAUAGGGUAGGGAUUAGCUAAAACCACAACCAGUCAUGAACAAAAAAAAAAUGUCUGGCAUUCAGUUAAAUACCUACUUGCCCACAAUAAUCUUGACUGAUGAUACCUAACCUGGUUUCAGGGCAGUUACAUGAGACUAUGAACUACUAGUAUACCGUUAAUUUCAUCACCAAACUAAAUUCAGUUUAUACUCAUUUUGGCAUACACUUAAGUUGGUCAAACUGUUACAAUAACUAGAAAUAUGGAUUCAUCUUGUCAAAUUGGACCCACCAGCGAGAGUCACGUGGGCUGGGUUUUAAUUGAAAAUGCAUUGUACAUUUGUAGCAUGUGGCUCUGCUUACUGUUAGUCUGACCACUCACCCAUCGGUCAAACACUAGCCUAGACAUCAAAUGAGGCUAACGAUCAAGUGUACUGGGGAACUCUGAAGUCUCAACCAACUGGGCCACUUGUACACCAAAUCCUCCAAAACCGAACUUGUCGCCCUACCACCAAGGAACCAGAAUCCACUGGGUUCACCUCGCGCUCGCCACACAAGUACGCAAGCGAUACCCACAAUGCCCUUACCUUAACCCGGUCUGACAGCCUACAGUGACUCGGUAAAACUGCAGGAGGGGGCGCGCGCACGACACCGCCAACAACAACGGAGCUUCCAACGAAAACGGGAGAACCAAGCACGAGCAUCCAAACACUUACCAUGAGCCACGCGAUCGAACGCUACGGCCGUUGCAGGUGACGUCGAAUCGGGGUCGGCGGCGGCCGGAGGCUGGG